Falco peregrinus (peregrine falcon) is the source of this 1536-nucleotide long non-coding RNA. RefSeq lists it as uncharacterized. NCBI's taxonomy places the organism in Eukaryota, Metazoa, Chordata, Aves, Falconiformes, Falconidae. The record is from RefSeq and is a predicted model, not a curated record. The transcript is spliced from 3 exons.
CCUGAAUUAGCAGGAAGGAGGCUUAAUGGUGCCUGAGUACCUAAUUAACCCUCAGAUGUGCCUGGGGCUGUGAGGAACCUGUGGCUGCAGCUGGGGAGGUGGCAGGCAAGACCUACAAGAGGAGGAAAACUUCCUGUGGUGAUAGAGCUUGGCUACAUGAAAAUCACGAGAUUCAUGUGAACUACUGGAGAAAUGCAGCUGGGAGCAGAGACGUAGGUUUAUGGUCUGUGCUUUGCAUGAGAGAAGGCUGGGAAUUAAAUGGAAGCUUUGCAGAGCACUGUGCUGUUAGAGGGGCAGAUCUAUUUGCUCUUCAAGGGAUGCAAGAGUUGAGAAGGCUGUGCUCCCCAGGAGGAGAAGUGCUGCAGCAAGGCCUUGCUCAGCACCCUGAAGAGGUGUAAAAGACAAGGAAAGCGAACGGACCACCAGUGGUAACUGAGAUCAAGGAUCUUUCUUGACCUGUUGUGCAGCUACAUACCCACCACUGCCAUAGUUAAAUACACCUAAGUCAGCUCAAUAAUGGAUGCAAGUCUGUGCAACUUCAGCGUUACCAAACCAUCUAAGGUAAGGAUCCCUGCUGUACUUCACAAGCACAUGAUUUGGUACGUAUAAUCUUCCUGUAGCUCUGACAGAUUCCUGGGAAAUUGUUUUUCUUCUUUCCGGUUUCUUUUCUGUGAUUAACUAAUAAAACUAAAAAUGUCAGUUUUAUUUUGCAUCUCCAAUAUUAAAUUUACAGUACAUUAAGGCAUUUAUUUCUGGUCAAAGGUAAGAAUAAUUAAUACUGAGUAUAACUAUCCCACUGCUUAUGCUAGAGGCUUAAGAGGAACCAUCCCCCUUUCUUUUUCCAUCGGUGACAUUCUCACUGGCACCUCAAUAUAACACAGCAGCUUUAAAAACGAAAACCAACCCAUACUCCCAACAAACCCCUGGUUUGAGUCAGGGUAUCUUCACAGAAAACCAAGGUAAAAUAUACAGAAAUACUAUCAGCAGUGCUACCAUAAUCAGAUGGUGAGAUGAAAAAAAUGAAGCAUUUCAACAUAUUUUGCAGCUGUUACAUAUAUCAUUUAUAUUCAACAGUCCUUUAGAGGAGCAGUACUCUGAGGGAAAACAACCAAAUAAUUUCAGAUGGAUAAUGAAAUGCUAAGACUUUCAUCUCCAGGUCACUGGUUCUAGCUAACCUUGUUCUGAAAGUAGCUGUUACUGACAGCUGUUUGAUGGCUUAUGGGAUGAGAUGGUGGUCUCCAAACAGUUCUUUUGCUCCCUCUGCUACAGACAGCUCUCUGCUACUGUAACAGACACUCUUUUCAGCUGCCUUAGCAGACAGGCAAAGGACUAGAUGGAUAUAAAAACUGAACCAGUCUCGCACUUUUGAGGAAGUCCUUGCUCAACAAGUUCAACAAGGAAUAUUAGCUGCAUCUUCACCACAUCAGGAUAGGAUUGUCAGCAUGCUGUAUCACAUCCUUUUGAAUAACAAUUGCAACUUAAUUCAGCAUAGUUAAUGUCAAUAUUCUACCUCUUCAAGACAUUCUGCUAAGUAAC